UUUAUUUUGUUUACUUAUACUGCUUCUGCUGUUAUCACCAGGGCGAAUUUAACCGCAUGAGGUGGUUCGAAAAGGGUUGCUUCUUUGAUUUAGAAUAUGCAUGCAUAGAUAUACACAUGUUCAUGCAUAUAUCCACAUAUAUGUAUGUACAUAUAUAUAUAUGCAUAUAUAUUCAUAUUAAAUCGGCUGUCGUUACAAUUGGUCAAAAAAAUAGUUUUUUUUUCCUAAAUCAAUAUAUUUUUAAUAUAUUUUUUUUUUUAAUACGAAAUUUGCAAAAUAUUGCCUAUUGGCACCAGGAAUCAGUUUUUUUGCUCUCGUGAAAAGUUAUUGGAACACAUAACUGUUUUUGUUGGCGCAGCGACGAUAUGUAUGUAUGUAUGCAGAUAUGUAAAUGGCGGUUCGCUAUUCGCGUGACAAACUUGGAAAAACGACGUAAAUCAGUACAAAUUGUUAUUGUUUUUAUUAGAGUUUGAGUAACUCCUUUCAUUAUUUGGCUUUUAGUAACUUCAACGAAAGCUUAACUUAUUUUAUUCAUUUAAGUGCAGUUUUACAAAUCUUUUGUUAACUACCUUAUUUUAUUCCUUUGAUUGUACAUGUUAAACAAAAGCUUGUUUUAAAAAAAAUUUUUUUUAAAUUAUUUUAUUUCUGGUGGUCUUCUUGCAUGUUGUAGCAGAAGUUGGUUAUAAUAGAACUUAGGCAGGGAACUUCUGUUGUUAAUGGGAGCGACAAAGCCUCAGCCGCUUUGCUGUCAGCCAUCUCGUUUCCUUUUAUUCCGACAUGUCCUGGGAGCCACAAUAUUUUUAUUGUAGGGCCUUGAUAUUUAAGUACAUGCUGAAUUAAAUUGCUGUUUUUGGUAGAUGCAAGAUGUUUAACAACGCUUAAGCUAUCGGAACAUAUUAAAGCUUUGCGAUUUGUUGAUGCUGCGUGUUUGAUAGCCCGCUGUAUUGCCCACAAUUCUGCAUUGAAGAUACCUGUAUGCGGCGGUAACAACGCUUGAAUCAAGGUUUUGAACGAGUUCGUAGCCGUUUGUUCAAUUACAGCGUAACUAUUUCAUUUCAUUUCAUUUAAUAAUCAAUAAGCAAUGUGUUUACCGACUAUAUUACAAAUUUAUAAAACAGGAUAACGUAAAAAACUAUGUCAAAUUCAAUGGCACAUUUUGUCAAAUUAAUGGAAACGCUUGCCAUUCGGUGCCAUUGCCAUCUUUUGUUAAUCUAUGAUAAAAGUUUUAAUCACAGAAUGGCAACUCAGUGAAAACACCACAGUUUGUGCUUCGAAAUCAAUCAGUCAAUCAAAAUAUUGUCAAAUGGCAUCACAAAUCAAAUUGACAACCUGUUGAAAUUUUCCCGCAUUUUUUAAGAAUAAACAUACAAAGCAGCAGUGAGAUACUAAUUGUGCUAUUUUUGCAAUACAUUGGUAAGAGUUUGUUCUUUUAAUAAAAACUUUAUCUGCUGUUUGAAUUGCAAUACUGUAAUUACCAGUAAUGGAAGAAAGCUACGAAAUCAUCGCAUCUGCAUCCCAAGAUAGCAGACCAGCAAAGAAGGGAAUCCGGAAACUCGAAGCAAAAUGGACAAGCGCGGAGACGGAGAAAAGCGCUCUGGAAGGAGAUAGCUGGCGAAAUGAAGAUGGCACCGUCCGAAAUAAAAAACAAGUAGAACAGUUUGCGUUGCUCCUUCGGGACAACUUUAAACAAAAUGAAUUCAACAAAGAGUGGACAAGGAGCUUCUACCAAGCAACUACCACAAAUCUUCCAUUUGUUAAAGUUUCUAGAACCGACUUUGCGAUUGGAGGCACCAACAAUUUCAAAUUUGCAUAGACUUGGGUACUUUGGAUACCAUUGAAGAAAAUGAGAACACUCAGACACCAACUAUUGUCGCGAGACGACGCCGUAAUGACGAUUCGUCGUAUAUUAAAGUAGUAGAACGCGCUUUGGGGACCAUGGAGGAAGCUUCCAAGUCGGAUAUUUGGGAUGACAGCAGUUUCGUUACAGCAAAUGGACGCGAGUGGCACACGAAGUUCCCUACAUUAGCUGUCGAAUUUAAGGCGGAAGUAUAUAAACUUAUACUGAGAUUCCAAGAGAAGGAAACAGAAGCAGAAAUACAAUUUUUGUAAUGCUGUAGCUACACAUGCAUGUAUAUAAUUUCUUAUUAAUUCAACUUUCUUUCGAUAUUUUUUAUUUUUCCAUUCACUACUGAACUUAUACUCGUAAUUUCAUUUUGAUAAUAUUAUUUUUUCAAGUAAUGCAUAUUUAUAUGUACAUAUGUAUUUACAGACAAACAUAUGUACUUCCAAAAUAUGUGCAAGGAGUAGGAAAUAAAACACUCGCACUUCGGAUUUUGAAAGUAUAUUUACGGUCCUUAUAUUUCCUUUUUUUGUCGUUUGUGUUUUUAAAAAUAUUUCGUUUCAAUAUUGUGUGCAAGUAAAAGUACAUCAUUACGGCUGUCUUCUUAAACACAUUAAUUCAAAGCAUCAUUAUCUUGCAUUUCUAAAUCAUUGUAAAAGUAAAGUUCAAUAAGCGGA
Molecule: long non-coding RNA, 2517 nt
Organism: Rhagoletis zephyria (snowberry fruit fly)
Lineage: Eukaryota; Metazoa; Arthropoda; Insecta; Diptera; Tephritidae
Source: RefSeq, a predicted model, not a curated record